AUUGAACGCUGGCGGCAGGCAUAACACAUGCAAGUCGAACGAGUGGCGGACGGGUGAGUAAUGUCUGGGAAACUGCCCGAUGGAGGGGGAUAACUACUGGAAACGGUAGCUAAUACCACAUACCAUCGGAUGUGCCCAGAUGGGAUUAGCUAGUAGGUGGGGUAAUGGCUCACCUAGGCGACUAUCCCUAGCUGGACUGAGCGGAUGACCAGCCACACUGUAACUGAGACACGGUCCCGACUCCUACGCGAGGCAGCAGUGGGGAAUAGUGCACAAUGGGCGCAAGCCUGAUGCAGCCAUGCCGCGUGUAUGCAGAAGGCCUUCGGGUUGUAAAGUACUUUCAGCGAGGAGGCGUUACUCGCAGAAGAAGCACCGGCUAACUCCGUGCCAGCAGCCGCGGUAAUAC
This 406-nucleotide ribosomal RNA is filed under the name uncultured bacterium. RNAcentral describes it as "partial 16S ribosomal RNA". It matches the Rfam family "Bacterial small subunit ribosomal RNA", at positions 30 to 526 of the family's 1533-position model. The record is from RNAcentral.